UGUUAAAGGUUUUAUCCAUUUGUACUGUUAAAAAUUGAUGUGAUUGACGGAAUAUAACUAAAUAGUAAUACGUUGCGUGCCAUGUGUACAUCAUGCUAAUAUUUAAAGGCCAGUUUUUAACAGUAGAAAUAGACGAAACUUUUAAUU
This is a non-coding RNA of Gossypium raimondii (Peruvian cotton), 147 nucleotides long. The record is from Rfam. Lineage: Eukaryota; Viridiplantae; Streptophyta; Magnoliopsida; Malvales; Malvaceae.